Molecule: ribosomal RNA, 298 nt
Filed under: uncultured Sphingomonadaceae bacterium
Lineage: Bacteria; Pseudomonadati; Pseudomonadota; Alphaproteobacteria; Sphingomonadales; Sphingomonadaceae
Description: partial 16S ribosomal RNA
Rfam family: Bacterial small subunit ribosomal RNA
Source: RNAcentral
UAACGCGUGGGAAUCUGCCCUGGAGUGGGGGAUAACCGAGGGAAACCUCGGCUAAUACCGCAUACGGCCUGAGGGCGAAAGAUUUAUCGCUCUAGGAGGGGCCCGCGUCGGAUUAGCUUGUUGGCGGGGUAACGGCCCACCAAGGCUAUGAUCCGUAGCUGGUCUGAGAGGAUGAUCAGCCACACUGGGACUGAGACACGGCCCAGACUCCUACGGGAGGCAGCAGUGGGGAAUAUUGGACAAUGGGCGCAAGCCUGAUCCAGCAAUGCCGCGUGAGUGAUGAAGGCCUUAGGGUUGU